CCUACGGGUGGCAGCAGUGGGGAAUAUUGGACAAUGGGGGCAACCCUGAUCCAGCCAUGCCGCGUGUGUGAAGAAGGCCCUCGGGUUGUAAAGCACUUUCAGUGAGGAAGAACGCCUGGUGGUUAAUACCCAUCAGGAAAGACAUCACUCACAGAAGAAGCACCGGCUAACUCCGUGCCAGCAGCCACGGUAAUACGGAGGGUGCGAGCGUUAAUCGGAAUUACUGGGCGUAAAGCGCGCGUAGGUGGCUUGAUAAGCCGGUUGUGAAAGCCCCGGGCUCAACCUGGGAACGGCAUCCGGAACUGUCAAGCUAGAGUGCAGGAGAGGAAGGUAGAAUUCCCGGUGUAGCGGUGAAAUGCGUAGAGAUCGGGAGGAAUACCAGUGGCGAAGGCGGCCUUCUGGACUGACACUGACACUGAGGUGCGAAAGCGUGGGUAGCAAACAGGAUUAGAUACCCCAGUAGUC
This 465-nucleotide ribosomal RNA is filed under the name Vreelandella stevensii. RNAcentral describes it as "partial 16S ribosomal RNA". It matches the Rfam family "Bacterial small subunit ribosomal RNA", at positions 338 to 795 of the family's 1533-position model. Lineage: Bacteria; Pseudomonadati; Pseudomonadota; Gammaproteobacteria; Oceanospirillales; Halomonadaceae. The record is from RNAcentral.